AAUAGGGCAGGGCUGAUGGGCAUUGAGCCCCUGCACAGUCCACCCACAAGCCCCUGGAGCCUAAGGGAUAAAUCCUCGCUCUCCUCUGUCUCCUGGUUUAGGUGAUCUUUGACGAGACUCUACAGAAGUGCCUGGACUCCUACCUGCACUAUGUCCCCCGCAAAUUCGAUGAGGGGGUGGCCUCAGCCCCUGAGGUUGUUGACAUGCAGAAGCGCCUCCAUCGAAGUGUUUUUCUCACCUUCCUCCGCAUGUCCACUCACAAGGAAUCCAAAGAUCACUUCAUUUCCCCUUCUGCGUUUGGAGAAAUCCUCUACAAUAACUUCCUCUUUGACAUUCCAAAGAUCCUGGACCUCUGUGUGCUCUUUGGAAAAGGCAACUCACCACU
RNAcentral lists this small RNA (385 nucleotides) under Pongo abelii (Sumatran orangutan). Its description in RNAcentral is "retained intron". Lineage: Eukaryota; Metazoa; Chordata; Mammalia; Primates; Hominidae. The record is from RNAcentral.